UUUUUUCCUAACUAAGCUCUUGGGUUACCCAAAGCGCACAUCUCCGUUUGGACCAGUCACAUGUCAAGAGCUGAGCAGUCACACGGUCAGUGGCUGCCGUAUUGGACACUGAGUCUGAGGCCUCCACUCUGCUACCCAACACAGGCUGUCAGUGGGUCCGUCUGGGCCCUGGACUUGUCACACUGGCUGAAGGGACUCCGGGGAGAGGUCUGAUGAAAUGGGAAUAAAGUCUCUUAAAAUCAUGGAACCCCUGCUUGGCUCCCUCUCAGUGGCAGCGCCCUGGCAGCCAGCCCCUAUGCCCUGGACACAGAGGCAGUCCUCCCAGGCCCCUCCCCGCCUCUGCCGCCAGUAGCUCCAAGCCCUCCCUUCCUCUGCCUCCCCCCACCCCCUCAGCUGAGAGUCUAGCAUCUUCUACAGCGCAUUUGCAUUGAUCAAGUGUGACAGCCAGACCCAGUUCUCCAGGCCAUUUUAAAUGAGUGAAGAUCUAGGGGUGUGACUGUGUGGCCAGGGACACCUGGAUACCCUUGGGCCUCUUCAAGCAGCCUUUUCAAGGCUCCCCUUCGCUGCAGGGCGUGUGUCCAGGAGCCUCGAAGCCCUCUUGUAACCGGUGGGGAGGGCUGGGGACCACGUGCUUCCGACCACGCAGGCACUGUGCUGAGAGCUUUGCGUGGAUUCGCCAGGAUAAGCCACCUAACAACCCUAUUUGAUGGGUGCUGUCAGUGACCCAAUUUUAUAGAUACAGAAACUGAGGUCCAGGGGUUAGAUAAUUUGCCCAAGGAUGCACUUAGCGGGAGGCCAACCCAAGACUCCAGGCUCGGCUGUCUUGCUCAGCAUCUGUCCUCUUAAGAGCAGCUGUGCCCUAGGAAAGGGGCAAAGAAGACAUUCUGGGAACUGGGCAAAGAAGGAGGUGGCUUCCCCUGCUGGGGAGAGAUGGGAGUCGGGUCGGCGGGUGGGGGCUUUGAACAGGCCCUUGAUGGAGUGACGGUACUUGAACCUGCAGAGACGGCAGAUGGUAUUUCCCAAAUAGAGUCCUUGCUUUUCUCUUCUGAGGUGCCCUUGGGGUCCGCACCACUAACACGGAACCAGGAGGCCGCCCCUCCCCCCAGCGAUUGUUUCCGUGGCCAAGGAGCGUGGGUGCUUGAUGGCUACAGGGUGAUGGAAUGUUCUGGAACGAGAGUGGUGAUGGUUGCACAGAAGUGGGGGGUGUUACCAAGUGCCACUAGAUGGACACUUCAAAAAGGUUAAGAUGGUAAAUUUUCUGCUUGGUUUUUGCUACUGUAGUUUUUUCAAAAAGGAAAUUGCAAUUUUAAAAAAGGGAAGCUGCUAGGGAAGAGGCAACUUUCUUGAGAAUGGAGGAAGGCAGAGGUUCUGUGGGGAGAUGAAGCUGCAGAGCCUAGAGCCUCCCCGGUCCCUUCCACCCUCAGGCAGGUGCACGAGUGCGUCAUAUCCACGUGAGUGUGUCACAUCCACAAGCGUGUGACAUCCAGAGAGCACGGGACAGCCACGUGAUAUCUGUCCUGGUCAUGUGAGUGUGUACUGCCCACCACCCCAGCGGCGGGUCAGACCUGCCUAGAAACCUCUCGCAGGUGACAGUGAGUGUGUGUCGCACAGGUGACUGCCCAGCGGGGCAGGCCAUUCAUGUGCAAAUGAGCUGCAGUGAUACACAUUUAAAUCUGCUCCCUGCCAGUGCCAGGCUCUAUCCACACCCCUUUCCUGUGCUGGAGCCGAAGUCCAUCUGACCUCCCCCCACCCACCUCCCCGCCCUGACUCUUUCCAUCACAUGAAGGUGACACCUGCAUCCCACAUCCCCACCUGCCCCUCCAGGAGGUGGGUCUUGGCUAUACUGAUGCAGGACCCAAGAGGCUGGCAGGGGGGGUCCUCCCUGAGGCUGGGGAAGAGAGGGUCCUUCGAUGGGCUGUGUAAGCUGAGCAGGGAGGUUGGAAGGUUUGGAAGGUGCAUCCAAAGGAGAAGCGCCUGGGUGAGAAGGGGUGUAACUCGCCAAAACAUUUCCCUUGAACUUGGAAAUAUAAGAACGAUGAGAGGCUGUUGUCACGGCUGGGUGAUUUGGGCAAAUCGACUAGCUUCUCUGAGAUGGGAUGGGUCGUACCCGGCAGAAGCUCUGAUGCGGAAGAGGAUGCAAAAGGAGGGGAGGAAGGAGGAAGGAAAAUGAAAGAGAGUGGAUGAGGACGAAUGGAAAUCACUAACAGCAUUCAUAUGGCUUACCCAGUGUUCACUCAGUCAAUCACUCAUUUGUGUGUUUAUCCGACAAGCACCUCUGUAUCAGAAUACGGGUGGAAGGGAACAAAGCCGAGGAAUGUGGUCCCUGCUCUUGGGGUGGGGUGGGGGGCUCUCAGGAGAUUUGAGGACGGGACAAAUAUGGCGAUAGGUAGAUCCAGAGUGACAAAUGCUCUGAUAAGGUCUGCACAGGCUACUCCUGGGCCGUGGGAGAUGGGGAGUAUUCUAACUAUGGUGGGGGGCGGGGGAGAGGUCUCAGGCACGACUCCCUGGACUGAAAUUGCCUGUGUUGGGCUUGUAAGGCAGGUGUAUUUUCCCUCACAGGUGGAAGACAUGGCUUGAAGGGCAUCGCAGGAGCGGGAACAGGGUGAGCAAAGACGUGCAGAUAUGAAAUGGCAUGGCU
This 2638-nucleotide long non-coding RNA is filed under the name Sus scrofa (pig). RNAcentral's name for it is "lncRNA (ENSSSCG00015037749.1)". The record is from RNAcentral. Lineage: Eukaryota; Metazoa; Chordata; Mammalia; Artiodactyla; Suidae.